GUGCUCGCUUCGGCAGCACAUACACUAACACGGGAACCGUACAGAGAAAGUUAGCGUGGUCCCUGCGCAAGGAUGACAUCAAAUUUGUGAAGCGUUCCCUAUUUUU
Pteronotus mesoamericanus is the source of this 106-nucleotide small nuclear RNA. The record is from RefSeq and is a predicted model, not a curated record. Lineage: Eukaryota; Metazoa; Chordata; Mammalia; Chiroptera; Mormoopidae.